AUUAUUGGCAAGUGGCCGACGGUAGUUCUGGAUUCUAUUGAUACACUCUGAUGACCUAUUCGUCGAUUCGUUAUGCAUAUAUCCUAGUUUACCUGAGGUACUUGUGGUUCAUUGAGCAGUAUUUGCAUAUGAUUGAGAGGAUGUUGAUAUUGUCCCAUCCUAGUUGACCUGAGUGGUCAGUUCUUGUGCUUCCUUACAGUUGAUGACCUAUACGGUCGAUGAGCCCUGUGGGCAGGAUUGUCGGCUGGUUGCCGAUGUUUGGCCUUUGAGCAUAUCAGCAUUGAUCGCCCGAGACUCGUUCGCAUUUCACGAACACCAGCGGUCUGAUCCACCGCAAGAGGGUGUUCUUUUCCGAAAAAGUGGUUGCAGGUGUCGACCCGUGAUCCCUAGAGGGUGUUCUUUUCCGGUUAGAUGCAUGGUAGAACGGCAGUGGUACUGUCGGGAGGUCUCCGGUGUGAACCUCCAGGGCACAGGCUUGAGGUUCCGGUGCGGACCAAUAGAGCAGCAGAUUUCAGAUUGGGUAUAUUUGGACUUCUUGUUCGGUUGACGCAUAUAGCUAUAGUAGCGGUUGUUGUUUGUAUACCUUCAGUUCUUUCUUUA
Molecule: long non-coding RNA, 600 nt
Filed under: Ananas comosus (pineapple)
Lineage: Eukaryota; Viridiplantae; Streptophyta; Magnoliopsida; Poales; Bromeliaceae
Description: long non-coding RNA (ACOM_LNC020367)
Source: RNAcentral